Molecule: long non-coding RNA, 2415 nt
Organism: Gorilla gorilla gorilla (western lowland gorilla)
Lineage: Eukaryota; Metazoa; Chordata; Mammalia; Primates; Hominidae
Exons: 3
Source: RefSeq, a predicted model, not a curated record
AAUAAUAAGAAGAUUCAUGCAUUUAUUUAGCAAAACUGGACUGCAUGACAGUGCUUAUAUCAUGCACCAGGCUCUGUUCUAGAUUCUAACCUCGUUCAUCCUCACAGCAACAUUAUGCAAAAGUACUAUUAUCAUCUCCAUUCUCUAGGUGAGGACGUUGAAGCACAGAGACAUUAAGUCACUUGCCCGAAGUCACACAGCUAAGAUUCAGACCUGGAGAGCCUGGCUCUGGAACGCACACUCUGAAUCUCUAGGCUGCCUGUUGGGUACAGUGUUUGGUUUAGAGUUGUGCUCAAGAAACAGUAAUUCUGAGGCCAGGCAAAAUGGCUCAUGCCUGUAAUCCCAGCACUUUAGGAGGCCGAGGUGGGCGGAUCACUUGAGGUCAGGAGUUCAAGACCAGCCUGGCCACUAUGGCAAAACUCCAUCUCUACUAAAAUACAAAAAUUAGCUGGGCAUGGUGGCAGGCGCCUGUAAUCCCAGCUACUCGGGAGGCUGAGGCAGGAGAAUCGCUUGAACCCAGGAGGUGGAGGUUGCAGUGAGCCAAGAUUGCGCCACUGCUCUCCAGCCUGGGCAACAGAGCAAGACUCUGACACACACACACACACACACACACACACAAAAGAAAAAGAAAAUGAAAAAAGAAAAAAAAGGAAAUGACCAGCCUGACCAACAAGGAGAAACCCCAUCUCUACUAAAAAUACAAAAUUAGCCGGGCGUGGUGGCGCAUGCCUGUAAUCCUAGCUACUUAGGAGGCUGAGGCAGGAGAAUUGCUUGAAUCCAGGAGGCAGAAGUUGCGGUGAGCCGAGAUCAUGCCAUUGCACUCCAGCCUGGGCAACAAGAGCAAAACUCCAUCUCACAAAAAAAAAAAAAAAAAAAAAGGAAAUGGUAAUUCUAAUUUCCUCCUUUGACAACCCAGCUGUGGUUAGCCCCAUCUGGCAGCUGUGGAAACUGAGGCUCAGUGAGAGAGAGGACACGGGGGAGGACAGGGCACCCCCAGAGCCCAGGUGUGUGUCAUACCAGCAUCUGGGCUUGUCACUGUGAUGUGGCAUCUGGGCUUGUCACUGUGAUGUGGCAUCUGGGCUUGUCACUGUGAUGCAGCAGUGUCCUUCCAGCCCUGACUGAUGGGGUCCCCAUGGCAGACGGAGGCCUUCUUCUCCCAGUCCACCCAGGUGCUUUCUUACCUGCACGAUGUAGUCACAAUCUUCCACCUCGAACGCGAUGUCCUUCACUCCGUCACCGUGUUUCACCAGGCCCUGAACGCAGAGCCCACCCACGGAGCCAUGCAUCCACCCUCCCAGAACCCAGACCCCACCCACAGAGCCAUGCGUCCACCCUCCCCGGGCACCUCACCUUUGUUCCAGGGGUUGAGCGCUGAGGAGAGGACAAACACAAUCUAAGAUACGGGGAGAAGGAGAUGGAGUCUUGCUCUGUCGCCCAGACUGGGGUACAGUGGCAUGAUCUCGGCUCAUUGCAACCUCUGCCUCCCAGGUUCAAGAGCUUCUCCUGCCUCCGCUUCCCUGGGAUUACAUGCGCCCACCACCACACCCAGCUAAUUUUUGAAUUUUUAAUAGAGAUGGGGUUUCACCAUCUUGGCCAGGCUGGUCUUGAACUCCUGACCUCGUGAUCUACCCACCUUGGCCUCCCAAAGUGCUGGGAUUAUAGGCGUGAGCCACCAUGCCCGGCCUGUACCAUGAUUUCUUUAACCAGCUCCUAGAAUCAAGCAUUACCAAGAUCUUCCCAUUAGAAACAGCAUGGAUGGUGAUCUAGCUCAUUUGAAUGUAGAGUUUAAUGCUCUUUAACAAUUGCUUUAUUAAAUUACUCUGAAUUUAUAUUAAUAAGUAUCUUAUUACUAUUUUAUGUUUUGUAGAGACAGAGUCUUGUCAUGUUGCCCAGGCUAGUCUCAAACUUCUGGCCUCAAGUGAUUCUCCUGCAUUGGCCUUCCAACGUGCUAGGAUUACAGACAUGAGCCACCAUGCUAGGCAGUAUCUUAUUAUUGUUAUUAUUUUCGAGGGUCUCAAUCUGUCACCCAGGCUGGAGUGCAGUGGCGUGACCUCAGCUCGCUGCAACCACUGCCUCCCAGGCUCAAGCAAUCCCCCCACAUCAGCCUCCCAAGUAGCUGGGACUACAAGUGUGUCCCACCACGCCAGGCUAAUUUUUUGUAUUUUUAGUAGUAGACAGGAUUUCACCAUGUUGGCCAGGCUGGUCUUGAACUCCUGACCUCAGGUGAUCUGCCCACCUUGGCCUCCCAGUGUUGGGAUUACAGGUGUGAGCCACCGUGCACAACCCAGUAUCUUAUUUUUAAAAAUUACUUUCUGCUCUGCUCCACGCUCUGCCCAGGUACUAAAUAUUAACACCCUCACAGGUAUAACUGCUUCCCUUUUUCCAUUCUAUGGGGGAGUUGACUUUACUGAAUAA